RNAcentral lists this ribosomal RNA (159 nucleotides) under Clathrina sinusarabica. RNAcentral's name for it is "5.8S ribosomal RNA". It matches the Rfam family "5.8S ribosomal RNA". Rfam says of the family: 5.8S ribosomal RNA (5.8S rRNA) is a component of the large subunit of the eukaryotic ribosome. The record is from RNAcentral. Lineage: Eukaryota; Metazoa; Porifera; Calcarea; Clathrinida; Clathrinidae.
UCAUGGACAACUUUCAACGGUGGAUCUCUUGGCUCGUGGAUCGAUGAAGAACGCAGCAAAACGCGAUAUGUAGUGUGAAUUGCAGAAUUCAGUGAAUCAUCGAAUCUUUGAACGCAAAUGGGCGCUCCUGGGUAUUCCCAGGAGCAUGUCUGUCUCAGU